GAUCAGCCACACUGGAACUGACACGGACCAGACUCCUACGGGAGGCAGCAGUAAGGAAUAUUGGUCAAUGGGCGCAAGCCUGAACCAGCCAUGCCGCGUGCAGGAAGACGGCCCUAUGGGUUGUAAACUGCUUUUGUCAGGGAAUAAACCCCCGCUCGUGAGCGGGGCUGAAGGUACCUGAAGAAUAAGCAUCGGCUAACUCCGUGCCAGCAGCCGCGGUAAUACGGAGGAUGCAAGCGUUAUCCGGAUUCAUUGGGUUUAAAGGGUGCGCAGGCGGAUUGGUAAGUCAGGGGUGAAAUCCCACAGCUCAACUGUGGAACUGCCUUUGAUACUGUCAGUCUAGAGUAUAGUUGAAGUUGGCGGAAUGUGUCAUGUAGCGGUGAAAUGCUUAGAUAUGACACAGAACACCGAUCGCGAAGGCAGCUAGCUAAGCUAUAACUGACGCUCAUGCACGAAAGCGUGGGGAUCAAACAGGAUUAGAUACCCUGGUAGUCCACGCU
Molecule: ribosomal RNA, 500 nt
Filed under: uncultured sulfate-reducing bacterium
Lineage: Bacteria
Description: bacterial SSU rRNA
Rfam family: Bacterial small subunit ribosomal RNA
Source: RNAcentral